This 449-nucleotide ribosomal RNA is filed under the name uncultured bacterium. RNAcentral describes it as "partial 16S ribosomal RNA". It matches the Rfam family "Bacterial small subunit ribosomal RNA", at positions 29 to 523 of the family's 1533-position model. The record is from RNAcentral.
AACGAACGCUGGCGGCAUGCCUAAUACAUGCAAGUCGAACGAUCUCUUCGGAGGUAGUGGCGCACGGGUGCGUAACGCGUGGGAAUCUGCCCUUGGGUUCGGAAUAACGUCGGGAAACUGACGCUAAUACCGGAUGAUGACGUAAGUCCAAAGAUUUAUCGCCCAGGGAUGAGCCCGCGUAGGAUUAGCUAGUUGGUGGGGUAAAGGCCUACCAAGGCGACGAUCCUUAGCUGGUCUGAGAGGAUGAUCAGCCACACUGGGACUGAGACACGGCCCAGACUCCUACGGGAGGCCGCAGUAGGGAAUAUUGGACAAUGGGGGCAACCCUGAUCCAGCAAUGCCGCGUGAGUGAUGAAGGCCUUAGGGUUGUAAAGCUCUUUUACCCGGGAUGAUAAUGACAGUACCGGGAGAAUAAGCCCCGGCUAACUCCGUGCCAGCAGCCGCCGUAA